Molecule: non-coding RNA, 179 nt
Organism: Triticum urartu
Lineage: Eukaryota; Viridiplantae; Streptophyta; Magnoliopsida; Poales; Poaceae
Source: Rfam
AAACUACUCCCUCCGUCCGAAAAUAUUUGUCAUCAAAAUGGAUAAAAGGAGAUGUAUCUAGAACUAAAAUACAUCUAGAUACAUCCCUUUUAUCCAUUUUAAUGACAAGUUAAUACAUCUAGAUACAUCCCCUUUUAUCCAUUUUGAUGACAAGUAUUUCCGGAUGAAGGAAGUACCUU